UACGUAGGGUGCGAGCGUUGCCCGGAUUUAUUGGGCGUAAAGGGCGCGUAGGCGGCCACGCACGUCCGUUGUGAAAUCGCCCGGCUCAACUGGGCGGGGUCAGCGGAUACGGUGUGGGCUCGAGCCAAGCUAGGGGGCAAUGGAAUUCCCGGUGUAGUGUGGAAUGCGUAGAUAUCGGGAGGAACACCUGUGGCGAAGGCGCCCCCUGGGCCGGCCCUGACACCUGAGACGCGGAAGGCGUGGGGGAGCGAACGGG
This 256-nucleotide ribosomal RNA is filed under the name uncultured bacterium. Its description in RNAcentral is "partial 16S ribosomal RNA". It matches the Rfam family "Bacterial small subunit ribosomal RNA", at positions 524 to 776 of the family's 1533-position model. The record is from RNAcentral.